This 731-nucleotide ribosomal RNA is filed under the name uncultured bacterium. Its description in RNAcentral is "bacterial SSU rRNA". It matches the Rfam family "Bacterial small subunit ribosomal RNA", at positions 94 to 820 of the family's 1533-position model. The record is from RNAcentral.
AGCGGCGGACGGGUGAGUAAUGCUUAGGAAUUUGCCUUAAUGUGGGGGACAACAGUUGGAAACGACUGCUAAUACCGCAUAAUGUCUACGGACCAAAGAAGGGGAUCUUCGGACCUUUCGCAUUAAGAUAAGCCUAAGUGGGAUUAGCUAGUUGGUGGGGUAACGGCUCACCAAGGCCACGAUCCCUAGCUGGUCUGAGAGGAUGAUCAGCCACACUGGGACUGAGACACGGCCCAGACUCCUACGGGAGGCAGCAGUGGGGAAUAUUGCACAAUGGGGGAAACCCUGAUGCAGCCAUGCCGCGUGUAUGAAGAAGGCCUUCGGGUUGUAAAGUACUUUCAGUAGUGAGGAAGAUAUCAGUGUUAAUACCACUGGUAUUUGACGUUAGCUACAGAAGAAGCUCCGGCUAACUCCGUGCCAGCAGCCGCGGUAAUACGGAGGGAGCGAGCGUUAAUCGGAAUUACUGGGCGUAAAGCGCAUGUAGGUGGUGAGUUAAGUCAGAUGUGAAAGCCCGGAGCUUAACUUCGGACGGUCAUUUGAAACUGACUCACUAGAGUAUUGUAGAGGGGAGUAGAAUUUCAGGUGUAGCGGUGAAAUGCGUAGAUAUCUGAAGGAAUACCGGUGGCGAAGGCGACUUCCUGGCCAAAUACUGACACUGAGAUGCGAAAGCGUGGGUAGCAAACAGGAUUAGAUACUCCUGGUAGUCUACGUCGUAAACGAUGUCUACUUGA